GGCCCAUGGCAGAAAGCCAACGGGUCGUACUCGGUGUUUCCUCAUGAUUUCGUAGAAUGCCGUUCUCAUGGCUGAGAUGCUAGUUUUCUCUGCAGAGGCUAUAACGCCAUGCGCCAUGGCACGGAUUUUCUCUGCAGAAGCAGUUGCCUUAAGGACAGAUGAUUUGACACCAGAACUUGCCAUUGCAGGGCCUGCUACGUUUGACUUUCCAAAUGCAAGAGCAAGGGCCUUUUGGGUUUGAG
RNAcentral lists this unclassified non-coding RNA (242 nucleotides) under Hevea brasiliensis (rubber tree). The record is from RNAcentral. Lineage: Eukaryota; Viridiplantae; Streptophyta; Magnoliopsida; Malpighiales; Euphorbiaceae.